This 97-nucleotide signal recognition particle RNA is filed under the name Phaeodactylibacter sp. RNAcentral describes it as "signal recognition particle sRNA small type". It matches the Rfam family "Bacteroidales small SRP", at positions 9 to 102 of the family's 107-position model. From Rfam's summary of the family: The non-coding component of the signal recognition particle in Bacteroides RNAcentral also lists the same sequence under 1 other name. Lineage: Bacteria; Pseudomonadati; Bacteroidota; Saprospiria; Saprospirales; Haliscomenobacteraceae. The record is from RNAcentral.
CGGUGAGCGCACACGACUUGCUCCCGCUGAAUCCCCCCAGGCCGGAAACGGAGCAAGGGUAGGCAGGUUGAGCAGUGCGAUGUGCUGCUCACCUUAU